This 1504-nucleotide ribosomal RNA is filed under the name uncultured Bordetella sp. RNAcentral describes it as "partial 16S-23S ribosomal RNA intergenic spacer". It matches the Rfam family "Bacterial small subunit ribosomal RNA". The record is from RNAcentral. Lineage: Bacteria; Pseudomonadati; Pseudomonadota; Betaproteobacteria; Burkholderiales; Alcaligenaceae.
UCAGGUAGUAACAGAGGGUUCGAUCCUGGCUCAGAUUGAACGCUGGCGGGAUGCUUUACACAUGCAAGUCGAACGGCAGCACGGACUUCGGUCUGGUGGCGAGUGGCGAACGGGUGAGUAAUGUAUCGGAACGUGCCUAGUAGCGGGGGAUAACUACGCGAAAGCGUAGCUAAUACCGCAUACGGCCCUUCGGGGGAAAGCGGGGACCUUCGGGCCUCGCACUAUUAGAGCGGCCGAUAUCGGAUUAGCUAGUUGGUGGGGUAACGGCUCACCAAGGCGACGAUCCGUAGCUGGUUUGAGAGGAUGACCAGCCACACUGGGACCGAGACACGGCCCAGACUCCUACGGGAGGCAGCAGUGGGGAAUUUUGGGAUACCGGGGGAAACCCUGAUCCAGCCAUCCCGCGUGUGCGAUGAAGGCCUUCGGGUUGUAAAGCACUUUUGGCAGGAAAGAAACGGCACGGGAUAAUACCCCGUGCAACUGACGGUACCUGCAGAAUAAGCACCGGCUAACUACGUGCCAGCAGCCGCGGUAAUACGUAGGGUGCAAGCGUUAAUCGGAAUUACUGGGCGUAAGCGUGCGCAGGCGGUUCGGAAAGAAAGAUGAAAUCCCAGAGCUUAACUUUGGAACUGCAUUUUUAACUACCGAGCUAGAGUGUGUCAGAGGGAGGUGGAAUUCCGCGUGUAGCAGUGAAAUGCGUAGAUAUGCGGAGGAACACCGAUGGCGAAGGCAGCUUCCUGGAUACCAUCGACGCUCAUGCACGAAAGCGUGGGGAUAAAACAGGAUUAGAUACCCCGGUAGUCCACGCCCUAAACGAUGUCAACUAGCUGUUGGGGCCUUCGGGCCUUGGUAGCGCAGCUAACGCGUGAAGACCGCCUGGGGAGUACGGUCGCAAGAUUAAAACUCAAAGGAAUUGACGGGGACCCGCACAAGCGGUGGAUGAUGUGGAUUAAUUCCGAUGCAGCAACGCGAAAACCCACCUACCCUUGACAUGUCUGAAUCCCGAAGAGAUUUGGGAGUGCUCGCAAGAGAACCGGAACACAGGUGCUGCAUGCAUGUCGUCAGCUCGUGUCGUGAGAUGUUGGGUUAAGUCCCGCAACGAGCGCAACCCUUGUCAUUAGUUGCUACGAAAGGGCACUCUAAUGAGACUGCCGGUGACAAACCGGAGGAAGGUGGGGAUGACGUCAAGUCCUCAUGGCCCUUAUGGGUAGGGCUUCACACGUCAUACAAUGGUCGGGACAGAGGGUCGCCAACCCGCGAGGGGGAGCCAAUCCCCCAGAAACCCGAUCGUAGUCCGGAUCGCAGUCUGCAACUCUCGACUGCGUGAAGUCGGAAUCGCUAGUAAUCGCGGAUCAGCAUGUCGCGGUGAAUACGUUCCCGGGUCUUGUACACACCGCCCGUCACACCAUGGGAGUGGGUUUUACCAGAAGUAGUUAGCCUAACCGUAAGGAGGGCGAUUACCACGGUAGGAUUCAUGACUGGGGUGAAGUCAACAGGCCAGCAA